This 586-nucleotide long non-coding RNA is filed under the name Canis lupus dingo (dingo). RNAcentral's name for it is "lncRNA (ENSCAFG00020003879.1)". The record is from RNAcentral. Lineage: Eukaryota; Metazoa; Chordata; Mammalia; Carnivora; Canidae.
GAGGCUUAAAGAACCCCCCUCACCCUCGCCCUCCUCGUUCAGGUGGAACCGACCACUUUUCACCUGUUGGUGGCUAAAGUGUCUCCAAGGACGCGGUUGUCGGAAACAGAGCUUGGAUUCCCUUGAAACGAGGGAACUGGGAUCAACCCAGCUGGUCCUCUGAGGGAAUGUCUGACCGUGGGGCAGUCAGGUUGGCCAGAGUAUGCACUUCUUCCCACAUAGUGUGCCCUCAGUAAAGGUUACAAGUUUGUGUGAUUUACAUACGUGUACAGUGAAGUAUUUGGAAGAGAUGGACUUUGGCCAGUCGAUGGAAUUUUAUUUGAUCUUCUCAUCAAAUGACUUUAAAAAUGAAAUGAAAAGUUCCAGCUUUCAUUUUUUAAUUCUUUUGGCAAGAUAUGAUGAAAAUAAAUCCAAGAAGAGUAGGAAGAUGUCAUGUGAAAUGCCAAGAAAAUGGAUUAACAAAAAAAAAUCAUCUGUUUUAAGGUGGAGCAGUUCAAAUAUUAAGAAAAAGAUCUCUUUCUUUUGGCAAGAGAGACAUUUUGGUGGUUUUAUUUCUUGGAUAAAGAAUGGGUCAUUCCUUAUUUAA